GCGAUCCACAACAAGUUCUUUGUAGAACUUUAAAAAAAACCAUUUUGCAUUAAAAGAAUGCUUUCAUGUGAUAAUGCCGGGGAAGGUUUUCCGGUUUAUCCCGGGAGGGCUUGUAGCUCAGUUGGUUAGAGCGCGCGCUUGAUAAGCGUGAGGUCGGAGGUUCAAGUCCUCCCAGGCCCACCAAUUAUCCAUCGAUAGAAAAGCGCUUAGGAAGCUUGAAAAGAGCUUUCUCGUAAAGUUUAAAAAAACUUGUUUAUCGCUUUUUGUAAGAUGUGGCGUUUGUCUGUUUUUAAAGCGGUCGAGACCAAAAGUGUUGCAAAGACAAGAGUCUUGGAGCAGGAAAGAACAUAAGAUCCAGGUGGUGUCACAUGGUCUAGAGUUAAACUGUUCAGGAUUGGAAUAUUCCAUGUUGAAAUGCUGCGAUAUAAAGGUUUCGGAUAAAUUAUUCCGUUUUGGGGCCGUAGCUCAGCUGGGAGAGCACCUGCUUUGCAAGCAGG
RNAcentral lists this unclassified non-coding RNA (497 nucleotides) under uncultured Bartonella sp. RNAcentral describes it as "partial 16S-23S ribosomal RNA intergenic spacer". The stretch from base 107 to 180 matches the Rfam family "tRNA". The record is from RNAcentral. Lineage: Bacteria; Pseudomonadati; Pseudomonadota; Alphaproteobacteria; Hyphomicrobiales; Bartonellaceae.